UGGACAGAUUAUUGUAUUCGACUGUAUUCACGGCGUGAAACAGGGGAUUACAUUGUUUUUAAACGGAAAGUGAAUCAAUUAACAUAAUAGAAUCCU
Molecule: microRNA precursor, 96 nt
Filed under: Nicotiana attenuata
Lineage: Eukaryota; Viridiplantae; Streptophyta; Magnoliopsida; Solanales; Solanaceae
Description: MIR6152 microRNA precursor family
Rfam family: MIR6152 microRNA precursor family
Source: Rfam by way of RNAcentral